UAGCGGAGGAGAUUCCGUAGGUGACAUGCGAAUACGCAUAUCAAUAAGCGGAGGAACCUUCCCGACGGCCCCCGGACCGGCGCCGGACCCAGGCGCCCGCCGCAGGUACCCCAAACUCUCUUGCAUUACGCCCAGCGGGCGGAAUUUCUUCUCUGAGUUGCACAAGCAAAAACAAAUGAAUCAAAACUUUCAACAACGGAUCUCUUGGUUCUGGCAUCGAUGAAGAACGCAGCGAAAUGCGAUAAGUAAUGUGAAUUGCAGAAUUCAGUGAAUCAUCGAAUCUUUGAACGCACAUUGCGCCCGCCAGCAUUCUGGCGGGCAUGCCUGUUCGAGCGUCAUUUCAACCCUCGAGCCCCCCCGGGGGCCUCGGUGUUGGGGGACAGGCACACCAGCCGCCCCCGAAAUGCAGUAGCGACCCCGCCGCAGCCUCCCCUGCGUAGUACACACACCUCGCACCGGAGCGCGGAGGCGGGUCACGCCGUAAAAACGCCCAACUUUCUUAGAGUUGACCUCGGAUCAGGUAGGGAAUACCCGCUGAACUUAAGCAUAUCAAUAAGCGGAAGAAA
Molecule: ribosomal RNA, 566 nt
Filed under: Purpureocillium lilacinum
Lineage: Eukaryota; Fungi; Ascomycota; Sordariomycetes; Hypocreales; Ophiocordycipitaceae
Description: eukaryotic LSU rRNA
Rfam family: 5.8S ribosomal RNA (bases 185-338)
Source: RNAcentral